UCGAAUCUGGGGCGCGGGGCGUUCGAUCGUUGUUUACGUCGAAGCCGAGUGAAAAGCAGAUCGAGCGCGUUCGGAUCGUGGGUUCGUU
This 88-nucleotide transfer RNA is filed under the name Deltaproteobacteria bacterium ADurb.Bin207. RNAcentral describes it as "tRNA-Val". Lineage: Bacteria; Deltaproteobacteria. The record is from RNAcentral.